GGUGGCACACAGCAAACGCCAAGGCCACGUCUGCGUCCCCUGCCCUUAACCUGUCUCCAUCUUGGGCUCAGUUUGUCUCCUCUGGUAAUUCCGUUUCUCCCGGCGCAGGAGUUGAGAAAAUGGUGGGGAGGAUGUGGUCUCUGCUUUUGAGAGCCACACAGUCUGGAUGUGCUGACAGACACACACAGACAAGAUUUUAUAGAACGUGAAAAGCUCUAGAGCCACGGCGUCGUGGGCACCCCCGAGAAUGUCUUCACGGCUGCAGCAUAGCGCGAGCAGGCCUCAGAGAACGCGAAAGGACUUUGUCGGACAGAGAUGGGGAUUCCCAGUAGAAGAGACUUCACGAGUGAAGGCCCAGAGUUGCUCAAGGUGGGACAGGACUGGUCCCAGGAGAACAGCCCGGAAGGUGGUGGUGGUGGAUUGCUACCGAGCCUUCCAUGGCUAAAGGAGCGUGGCCUUUGCCCUGAACAGCUGCGGCUCCAACACUUCUGCACUUCUUUUAUCAGGACAUUCUGGGCUGAGCUCAAUUUAUUUUCAAACUCAAUGAAUGGGAAGAAUGACACUUUCCUCAUUUCUGUCUUACUGCAUGACUCUGAGGAGGAGCUAAGAUGCUUCCUCCUCCUGGAGAAAACGAGUUUAUGUACUUUGCAAGCUUUUUGCCUAAUUUGCAUGUUCACAGCAAGUGAAGUGGAGAAUAUAGACCAUCAUCUUGACUUUCUAAAAACACACUCAUUUAUAAUAUCAAGAGAUUCAGAAUUCUUUCACCUGAAUUACAUAAUUAUCCCGAUUUCAUACAAUACAAAAUCAACUACAAAUCAAAGAAGAAAAAAAUAAUUUAUUGUGGUACUUACCAAACUU
Molecule: non-coding RNA, 858 nt
Organism: Microcebus murinus (gray mouse lemur)
Lineage: Eukaryota; Metazoa; Chordata; Mammalia; Primates; Cheirogaleidae
Source: RefSeq, a predicted model, not a curated record